GGGGUUGUGGCUCAGUGGUAGAGCACUCACCUAGCAUGUGCAAGGCCCUGGGUUCAAUCCUCAGCACCACA
RNAcentral lists this transfer RNA (71 nucleotides) under Marmota monax (woodchuck). Its description in RNAcentral is "tRNA.Ala". It matches the Rfam family "tRNA". Rfam says of the family: Transfer RNA (tRNA) molecules are approximately 80 nucleotides in length. Their secondary structure includes four short double-helical elements and three loops (D, anti-codon, and T loops). Lineage: Eukaryota; Metazoa; Chordata; Mammalia; Rodentia; Sciuridae. The record is from RNAcentral.